AUGCUUGCUUCGGCAGCACAUAUGCUAAAACUGGAACGAUACAGAGAAGAUUAGCAUGGCCUCUGCGCAAGGAUGACACACAAAUUUGUGAACGUUCCAUAUUUUU
RNAcentral lists this small nuclear RNA (106 nucleotides) under Colobus angolensis palliatus. The record is from RNAcentral. Lineage: Eukaryota; Metazoa; Chordata; Mammalia; Primates; Cercopithecidae.